RNAcentral lists this ribosomal RNA (274 nucleotides) under uncultured bacterium. Its description in RNAcentral is "partial 16S ribosomal RNA". It matches the Rfam family "Bacterial small subunit ribosomal RNA", at positions 523 to 796 of the family's 1533-position model. The record is from RNAcentral.
AUACGGAGGGUUCAAGCGUUAAUCGGAUUUACUGGGCGUAAAGCGUGCGUAGGCGGCUUGUUAAGUCAGAUGUGAAAGCCCCGGGCUCAACCUGGGAACUGCAUUUGAUACUGACAGGCUAGAGUAUGGUAGAGGGAAGUGGAAUUCCGCAUGUAGCGGUGAAAUGCGUAGAUAUGCGGAGGAACACCAGUGGCGAAGGCGACUUCCUGGACCAAUACUGACGCUGAGGUACGAAAGCGUGGGGAGCAAACAGGAUUAGAUACCCCUGUAGUCC